UGCAAGUCGAGCGGUAAGGCCCUUCGGGGUACACGAGCGGCGAACGGGUGAGUAACACGUGAGCAACCUGCCCCUGACUCCGGGAUAAGCGGUGGAAACGCCGUCUAAUACCGGAUACGACCCUCCACCUCAUGGUGGUGGGUGGAAAGUUUUUCGGUCGGGGAUGGGCUCGCGGCCUAUCAGCUUGUUGGUGGGGUAACGGCCUACCAAGGCGAUUACGGGUAGCCGGCCUGAGAGGGCGACCGGCCACACUGGGACUGAGACACGGCCCAGACUCCUGCGGGAGGCAGCAGUGGGGAAUAUUGCGCAAUGGGCGAAAGCCUGACGCAGCGACGCCGCGUGGGGGAUGACGGCCUUCGGGUUGUAAACCUCUUUUACCACUCACGCAGGCUCCACGUUUUCGUGGGGUUGACGGUAGGUGGGGAAUAAGGACCGGCUAACUACGUGCCAGCAGCCGCGGUAAUACGUAGGGUCCGAGCGUUGUCCGGAAUUAUUGGGCGUAAAGAGCUCGUAGGCGGCGUGUCGCGUCUGCUGUGAAAGACCGGGGCUUAACCCCGGUUCUGCAGUGGAUACGGGCAUGCUAGAGGUAGGUAGGGGAGACUGGAAUUCCUGGUGUAGCGGUGAAAUGCGCAGAUAUCAGGAGGAACACCGGUGGCGAAGGCGGGUCUCUGGGCCUUACCUGACGCUGAGGAGCG
RNAcentral lists this ribosomal RNA (695 nucleotides) under Nocardiopsis sp. 11753. RNAcentral's name for it is "bacterial SSU rRNA". It matches the Rfam family "Bacterial small subunit ribosomal RNA", at positions 56 to 755 of the family's 1533-position model. The record is from RNAcentral. Lineage: Bacteria; Bacillati; Actinomycetota; Actinomycetes; Streptosporangiales; Nocardiopsidaceae.